Molecule: ribosomal RNA, 611 nt
Filed under: fungal endophyte sp. SX04
Lineage: Eukaryota; Fungi
Description: eukaryotic LSU rRNA
Rfam family: 5.8S ribosomal RNA (bases 234-387)
Source: RNAcentral
AUUGGAAGUAAAAAAUCGUAACAAGGUCUCCGUUGGUGAACCAGCGGAGGGAUCAUUGCUGGAACGCGCUUCGGCGCACCCAGAAACCCUUUGUGAACUUAUACCUACUGUUGCCUCGGCGUCAGGCCGGCCUCUUCACUGAGGCCCCCCGGAGACGGGGAGCAGCCCGCCGGCGGCCAACUAAACUCUUGUUUCUAUAGUGAAUCUCUGAGUAAAAAACAUAAAUGAAUCAAAACUUUCAACAACGGAUCUCUUGGUUCUGGCAUCGAUGAAGAACGCAGCGAAAUGCGAUAAGUAAUGUGAAUUGCAGAAUUCAGUGAAUCAUCGAAUCUUUGAACGCACAUUGCGCCCCCUGGUAUUCCGGGGGGCAUGCCUGUUCGAGCGUCAUUUCAACCCUCAAGCCUGGCUUGGUGAUGGGGCACUGCUUCGAGAGGAGCAGGCCCUGAAAUUCAGUGGCGAGCUCGCCAGGACCCCGAGCGUAGUAGUUAUAUCUCGCUCUGGAAGGCCCUGGCGGUGCCCUGCCGUUAAACCCCCAACUUCUGAAAAUUUGACCUCGGAUCAGGUAGGAAUACCCGCUGAACUUAAGCAUAUCAAUAGGGGGGGAGGAAUCC